GAGCGCUUGAAGGGGAAACUGUAGGUUGGAAAGUGGAAGAGAAGAGAAUUUUGAGCAAAAGAAGAAACUUAUGUUGGUAGGAGCUGCAGCAAGGCUAUGCAUUGCCUGAGUAGCAAAGCAUGGUAAGAUGCGGGUGUGGAUUACAAAGAUCAAACGAUCCUCUUGAUGAAAGAAAACUCCUGGAUAUUGAGCAGACUCCUCUCCAGGACUGUUUUGGACUGGGAUGAUCUUCCUAGCUGCAGUUGACAUGCAAACUGCUGCUAAUGCUUCUUUUAAAAAACAAAGUAGGUCAUUUACAUGGGCACUAAGUGGAUUGUUCCAAGGGUGUCACAUAGUGCCUGAGACUCCAAGGAGAGGAAGCUUUGGCAUUUGCCUUGAGUCUGGGGUUAUAGGAUGUGUGAGGAGCAGUGAUAAUCAAGAGCACAGUAUUUCUGAUGAACAUUUAAGCACCUGCAGCAGCUUGGAAACCCUGCACCUUUACUGCCUGCCUCCAAUAAGCAUUCACUCACCUUCUUGUGAAAAUGACAUUUCCUCAAUAUCCUGGAUUGUUAUUCUUUGUGUAAAAUAAAAGAGAGUAAAAAUCGCA
Peromyscus maniculatus bairdii (prairie deer mouse) is the source of this 586-nucleotide non-coding RNA. The record is from RefSeq and is a predicted model, not a curated record. Lineage: Eukaryota; Metazoa; Chordata; Mammalia; Rodentia; Cricetidae.